Molecule: long non-coding RNA, 1596 nt
Organism: Saccostrea cuccullata (small rock oyster)
Lineage: Eukaryota; Metazoa; Mollusca; Bivalvia; Ostreida; Ostreidae
Exons: 3
Source: RefSeq, a predicted model, not a curated record
AUGUGUAAAACAAAAAACAUCUAUCCCCUUUAUUCUAAGUUUCAUUUUGUUCAACAGAACAUCACAGUUGUGGUCUUUCAUGAAAUCUAAACCCAAAAUACAUUCGUUUUGGAUAUUAGCCACUAAAACGUUAUGAUUCACAGUAACAUCUCCCACACAUAUUUUCACUAGGCAUUCCCCUAGGACAGCUAUUUUCUCCCCACUAACAGAGGUUAGAUUUACAAAUGAAGGGUUCAAAUCUAAUUUCCCCUUUAACUCUGAACUGUCUGCAAAAUCGGAGCUAAUAAUUGUUACACUAGCUCCUGUGUCGACCAUCAUUGUAGUUCGAAUGUUCUCAAUUUUGCCUACUACAAAAAUUCCUUCACCACACCCCUUUACAUCACCUACUCUCUCAUUUCUAGGUGCAUUUUCACAUUUAACAAUUUUCUCAACAUCAUUUUCUGAUUUAUUGUUCUCAGUAUCAUUUUUUGGUUUAUUGUUCAUCAUAUUUUCAUUCUCAGUUACAUUAACUGUAUUUUGAGGACUCUUUUUAAUAUGCUCAUUUCUUCCAGCAGGAAGAGGUCCUCUUGUUUCAACUUUGUUUAACAGUGAUUGGGGCCUACCCCUGCGCUUUGUCGACUUCCGCCCCCUGAAUUCGACACGGGAAAGUUUCCCUGAUUUGAGGAUUGGAAGCGACUAUUUUGAUAUUGUCUAUUUUGCCUUGUCAGAGCCUGAUUUCUGUAUAGGAGAUGAGGUACCGGACCGUUGAUACUCAUCACAAGUGAUGUCAUCAUUCAGAUCGCAGGACCUGCACCCAUUCUCCUCAGAAGCUUCAUAUUGGCUGUUUUUAUUUGACAUUUUGACUUUUGUUUUUGCAACACAAAUUUUAUGUGUUAUAAUGUGCUUGUCGUUGUCAAUAGACUUAACAAGACUUAGGUGUCAAUUUUGUAAGAUCCUGAUGUAGACUUUCGAUCAACCAGAAUAAAAGGAAGACUUUAUCCCACUUCUGACACCAAUUGUUACGACUUACGGCUUUAUAUGUUUAGCGGCGUAACAUUGUGGGGCUCCUUAAUCUGAAUGUUGAACGAAAGACAACAGGAUAUAAUUUGUUUUUAAUAUUUUAUUAGAUUUUAUUCAAUAAACAUACAAAAAUACUCUUCUUUGGCUCUGCGGUCCUCACCUGAAAUAAAAACAAACCAACCACCCUUUCCAACAAAUGUUAAUUUAUAAAACCACCCUUAAACAAACCCCUUAAUAAACAUGAAUAGACCUUGUAUCUUUAGGUCUUGAAUAAAGAUUGAACUAGUGAUUUCUUCACUUAGUGAGUAUAAAUACAAAAUGUCAGGAUGUAGCAAACAACUAAUUGUAUAGGGACAAAAAGUUAUGCAAACAUCUCAACAAAACUCAAUACAAUGCACCAUGCAUUUGUUAGUUUGUUGUUAGUAAUAAUGUCAGGAGUUAUAAAUAUCAAGUUCAGGUCACUUCUUGUGCCUUAGUAAAUACUACUCAACAGUAAACAAUAACGAUGAAUUCAGAUCACUACUUGUGUCUGAGUAAAAUGAAUGAAUAACGCAAUCAAACGUUGCUAACAAAUUCAGGUUAAUAAUUACCCAUCAU